RNAcentral lists this transfer RNA (74 nucleotides) under Lachnospiraceae bacterium. RNAcentral's name for it is "tRNA-Gly". It matches the Rfam family "tRNA". Rfam says of the family: Transfer RNA (tRNA) molecules are approximately 80 nucleotides in length. Their secondary structure includes four short double-helical elements and three loops (D, anti-codon, and T loops). The record is from RNAcentral. Lineage: Bacteria; Bacillati; Bacillota; Clostridia; Lachnospirales; Lachnospiraceae.
GCACCAUUGGUGUAAUGGUAACAUCUCUGCCUUCCAAGCAGAUGUAGUGGGUUCGAGUCCCAUAUGGUGCUCCA